This 219-nucleotide unclassified non-coding RNA is filed under the name Glomeraceae sp. RNAcentral describes it as "partial contains 5.8S ribosomal RNA and internal transcribed spacer 2". The stretch from base 1 to 71 matches the Rfam family "5.8S ribosomal RNA", at positions 84 to 154 of the family's 154-position model. The record is from RNAcentral. Lineage: Eukaryota; Fungi; Glomeromycota; Glomeromycetes; Glomerales; Glomeraceae.
GUGAAUCAUCGAAUCUUUGAACGCAAAUUGCACUCUCUGGUAUUCCGGAGAGUAUGCCUGUUUGAGGGUCAGUUUAAAUAAAAAUCGGUGUGGUUGCUGCCUUUCGUGGUGACGCACCGGAUUUGGGUCGUCUUGCCUUCGGUUAAGUGACCUAAAAUUUUGCAUGAUUUUUUUUCUAACCGAUUUUAAUUGAUUUACGUUCGUUUUCGAAAUCCAAUA